GACUUACAAAUUGGGGUUUAAAAGGAAGGCAUUUUAAUACUCGUCAUAUCUAUACGCAUUCGAUAUUGUUAGCACUCGGAGAACGCUUCCCUAAAGUCAAGCAAGAUGAAUAGACUGUCUACAUUAGCUUUAUACUUGGUACUCUUGAUGGGGGUUUUCCAGGCAAGCACGUCUUUAGAUCUUCCAAACUUUGAAGAACAGAGUCAAGACGCCGCAUGCGAAGGCUUUGAGGCAAGAAAAGUCAAUCGAGAAAUGAAAGACGCCUUCCUCAAAAGAGAAGGUCCACCGCCAAGACACAAUCGAUGGGGUGGUGGACUAGGGAAGAGAUAUUAGUUGGACUUUCAAAAUUUAAAGGCAAAUAUAGUUUCGAUUCUUAUUUUGAGUAAUGUAAACUUAAAACUACGAGAAAACUUAAGUCGAAAAAAUAAAAAAUGAACAAGCAAAUAAAUAAAUAGAGGAAGGAAGGAAAUAUUGGAUGGCGAGAAUGCAAACAAAGGAAGAAAAAAAAUAAAUAGGAAGCUAGUAAUAUGAGGAAAAGGAAUCGAUUACUGCAUACCGCGUUAAA
Long non-coding RNA from Actinia tenebrosa (Australian red waratah sea anemone), 565 nucleotides. RefSeq lists it as uncharacterized. Lineage: Eukaryota; Metazoa; Cnidaria; Anthozoa; Actiniaria; Actiniidae. The record is from RefSeq and is a predicted model, not a curated record.